This 334-nucleotide ribosomal RNA is filed under the name Lancefieldella rimae. RNAcentral describes it as "bacterial SSU rRNA". It matches the Rfam family "Bacterial small subunit ribosomal RNA", at positions 156 to 502 of the family's 1533-position model. The record is from RNAcentral. Lineage: Bacteria; Bacillati; Actinomycetota; Coriobacteriia; Coriobacteriales; Atopobiaceae.
ACCGAGGAUAAUACCCGAUACUUCAAUGUGGCCGCAUGACGACAUUGAAAAAGCUUUUGCGGAGAAGGAUGGGCCCGCGGCCUGUUAGCUUGUUGGUGGGGUAGAGGCCUACCAAGGCAAUGAUGGGUAGCUGGGUUGAGAGACCGACCAGCCAGAUUGGGACUGAGACACGGCCCAGACUCCUACGGGAGGCAGCAGUGGGGAAUCUUGCACAAUGGGCGAAAGCCUGAUGCAGCGACGCCGCGUGCGGGACGAAGGCCUUUCGGGUUGUAAACCGCUUUCAGCAGGGACGAGGCGAAAGUGACGGUACCUGCAGAAGAAGCCCCGGCUACAA